This is a long non-coding RNA of Papaver somniferum (opium poppy), 675 nucleotides long. RefSeq lists it as uncharacterized. Lineage: Eukaryota; Viridiplantae; Streptophyta; Magnoliopsida; Ranunculales; Papaveraceae. The transcript is spliced from 4 exons. The record is from RefSeq and is a predicted model, not a curated record.
GGUUGUUCCGUAGGUGCUUCUCUAGUAGUUUUUGUCUAUGCGGUCAGGAAAGGUGCAGCAGCGGAGGGAAUGAAAAUGCGAGAUUGUGUAUAACGUGGUCAUGAUCCAACAACUCUUGUUGUUAUGAAAAAGGAGAGCGAAGGGGCACCUCGAGCAAUCAUAGAGGGCCAAUCUUCUGUAUAAAAUGGAACAAAGAGUGUAACAAUCUUCUUACUGGAAGUUCCGAUGGAACUGCUAUCGUGUGGCGGGGGCGGCGAAUGAAUACCUUGAGACAGGCUCAAAAACUUGAAUUUCACUCUGAUCGAGUCUUGGAUGUUGAUUGGCGGCAUUGCGACACAUUUGCAACGAGCUCAGCUGACACCAAAAUCAAAGUUUGCAAGGUUGGAUAGAAUCAUCCCGUUAAAACCUUUUUGGGGCAUAAGGUGCUGCAAUAGAAGUUUGGGCUGGCUCCCUGCAUCAGGAUUAACUACGUAACAAGUUCAGAAAAUUGGUACGUUAAAUCAAUCAUGAUUCAGCUCCGCUACUCCGAGAUUUUCUUCAAGUCCUACGCGAUAUUAGUUCAUCUCAUUUAAAUGUAUGUCUAUCAUUGAUCUCCCGCAGAGAGUAUAAUAAGUUGUAUAUGUAAUCCAUAUUGGAAGAGAGAAUAUUGUUAGGAUUUGUUGUUGGAUUCAAUGG